Molecule: ribosomal RNA, 621 nt
Filed under: Triticum aestivum (bread wheat)
Lineage: Eukaryota; Viridiplantae; Streptophyta; Magnoliopsida; Poales; Poaceae
Description: partial small subunit ribosomal RNA
Source: RNAcentral
AUGGCUGCAGGUGGAGCUUCUCUUAUUGGUGCUGCUGUUUUCUCCGUGCUGAUCAUGUCUUCCCUGGGGGAUCCGAUGCCUUUAUGCAGCGACUGCGAGACACUGUGCCGUACCAACUGCACCGCGGAGGCUGAAGCCAAUUGCGCCAAUUACUGCAACAACACCCAAGCAACAGCAGGGCACUGCGAAGGUUGCAUGGGCGCCUACUUCGGCCAGCACUGCAAUCCCGAGUGUCUUAAGAAUUGCAGCAACGGCUGCAAGAGGAAGGUGCUUCCGACGCCUUUAUGCAGCGACUGCGACACGGUAUGCAGUACCAAGUGCGACGAGGAGCUUCAAACCACCUGCAGCGAAUACUGCGACUUCAGCCGCAGCGGUCUGGCGGACUGCCAGCGUCAGCUCUUCAAGCGGUGCAAUGCAGAGGGUACCUGCUGCAGUAGCGACGGCACAUGCACUUGUGACUGCGAGACCGAAGCUCGAAAGCAGUGCGUGGGCGUCAGCGACAACUCCAAUAAUUGCGAAGUUUGCAAGCGCAGCCAGUUCGACCAGGACUGCCAUCCCACCUGUAACACCGACUGCAAUAGCAACUGCAAGAAGGAGAAAGGGUGCCGCGGGCACGCAUAG